RNAcentral lists this ribosomal RNA (449 nucleotides) under uncultured bacterium. RNAcentral describes it as "partial 16S ribosomal RNA". It matches the Rfam family "Bacterial small subunit ribosomal RNA", at positions 29 to 523 of the family's 1533-position model. The record is from RNAcentral.
AACGAACGCUGGCGGCAUGCCUAACACAUGCAAGUCGAACGAGACCUUCGGGUCUAGUGGCGCACGGGUGCGUAACGCGUGGGAAUCUGCCCUUGGGUUCGGAAUAACUCAGAGAAAUUUGAGCUAAUACCGGAUGAUGACGUAAGUCCAAAGAUUUAUCGCCCAAGGAUGAGCCCGCGUAAGAUUAGGUAGUUGGUGGGGUAAAAGCCUACCAAGCCGACGAUCUUUAGCUGGUCUGAGAGGAUGAUCAGCCACACUGGGACUCAGACACGGCCCAAACUCCUACGGGAGGCAGCAGUGGGGAAUAUUGGACAAUGGGCGAAAGCCUGAUCCAGCAAUGCCGCGGGAGUGAUGAAGGCCCUAGGUGUGUAAAGCUCUUUUACCCGGGAUGAUAAUGACAGUACCGGGAGAAUAAGCCCCGGCUAACUCCGUGCCAGCCGCCGCCGUAA